AUUGAACGCUGGCGGCAUGCUUUACACAUGCAAGUCGAACGGUAACAGGCCGCAAGGUUCUGACGAGUGGCGGACGGGUGAGUAAUGCAUCGGAACGUGCCCAGUCGUGGGGGAUAACUACUCGUAAGAGUAGCUAAUACCGCAUACGAUCUAUGGAUGAAAGCGGGGGACCGUAAGGCCUCGCGCGAUUGGAGCGGCCGGUGUCGGAUUAGGUAGUUGGUGGGGGUAAGGCUCACCAAGCCAACGAUCUGUAGCUGGUCUGAGAGGACGACCGGCCACACUGGAACUGAGACACGGACCAGACUCCUACGGGAGGCAGCAGAGGGGAAUGUUAGACAAUAGGCGCGAGCCUGAUACAGCAAUGCGGAGUGCAGGAAGAAGGCCUUCGGGUUGUAAACUGCUUUUGUGCGGAGCGAAACGGCUCUGGUUAAUACCCGGGGCUAAUGACGGUACCGUAAGAAUAAGCACCGGCUAACUACGUG
Molecule: ribosomal RNA, 482 nt
Filed under: uncultured bacterium
Lineage: Bacteria
Description: partial 16S ribosomal RNA
Rfam family: Bacterial small subunit ribosomal RNA
Source: RNAcentral